CUUUCGACUCUUCUUCUAAUGACCGAAACAACGGGUGGAUAUAACCUCAGGGACUCGUACAUGAUCAUACUCAUCUGCAUAUGCGUGGAAAUCAAAGUUAGAGAGAGCAAACAAAUCAGGAGUUCAUACUUUAAUUCAGUUCUUGACUUCCAUACAGUUUUUAGUUUCGCAAUGCCUAUCGGGUUUGGAGUUUGCUUGCCAAAUAAUUGUAGGACCUCUUUUCUUGCUUCCUCUUGCCAAUCUGUAUGUAAUGCCUGAAGAAAGACAGUCCAGGCAAGAAAAGUAGCAGUGCUUUCAUGUCCGGCCAAGUAAAAUGUCUUGCAUUCGUCGACCAAAUCGUCCAACGAAAUCCUCUGGUUGUCACUGGUGUCAAGGUAAGCCUUUAAAAGUAAUCCAAGAAAAUCACUCCCUAAGCUCCCUUCUUCUCCAGGCAUUACUUCCUUUCUCUUUUCUAAACAAUCUCUAUAAUGGUUUCGCGUAUUCUUUUCUCAAGCUUCU
Molecule: long non-coding RNA, 498 nt
Filed under: Prunus dulcis (almond)
Lineage: Eukaryota; Viridiplantae; Streptophyta; Magnoliopsida; Rosales; Rosaceae
Description: sRNA ncRNA
Source: RNAcentral